RNAcentral lists this ribosomal RNA (428 nucleotides) under uncultured bacterium. RNAcentral describes it as "bacterial SSU rRNA". It matches the Rfam family "Bacterial small subunit ribosomal RNA", at positions 355 to 775 of the family's 1533-position model. The record is from RNAcentral.
UGAGGAAUAUUGCGCAAUGGGCGAAAGCCUGACGCAGCGACGCCGCGUGGAGGAUGAAGGUCUUCGGAUUGUAAACUUCUGUUAAGUGGGAAGAAAUCUCCAUGAGUAAUAUGCUUGGAGGAUGACGGUACCAUUAGAGAAAGCACCGGCUAACUUCGUGCCAGCAGCCGCGGUAAUACGAAGGGUGCAAGCGUUAUUCGGAAUAAUUGGGCGUACAGGGUGCGCAGGCGGCAUGUUAAGUCAACUGUUAAAUUCUUCGGCCUAACCGGAGGUCAGCAGUAGAAACUGGCAAGCUAGAGGGUGGAAGAGAAAAGUGGAAUUCUUGGAGUAGCGGUAAAAUGCGUAGAUCUCAAGAGGAACACCGAUGGCGAAGGCAGCUUCUUGGUCCACAUCUGACGCUCAGGCACGAAAGCGUGGGGAGCAAACAG